RNAcentral lists this ribosomal RNA (208 nucleotides) under uncultured bacterium. RNAcentral describes it as "partial 16S ribosomal RNA". It matches the Rfam family "Bacterial small subunit ribosomal RNA", at positions 524 to 729 of the family's 1533-position model. The record is from RNAcentral.
UACAGGGGGUGCAAACGUUUGCUCGGAAUCAUUGGGCGUAAAGCGCACGUAGGCGGUUCGUUAUGUCGGAUGUGAAAGCCCUUGGCUUAACCGAGGAAGUGCAUCCGAAAACUGGCGAGCUAGAGUACGAAAGAGGAUCGCGGAAUUCCCGGUGUAGAGGUGAAAUUCGUAGAUAUCGGGAGGAACACCGGUGGCGAAGGCGGCGAUC